RNAcentral lists this ribosomal RNA (497 nucleotides) under uncultured bacterium. RNAcentral's name for it is "partial 16S ribosomal RNA". It matches the Rfam family "Bacterial small subunit ribosomal RNA", at positions 28 to 507 of the family's 1533-position model. The record is from RNAcentral.
GAUGAACGCUGGCGGCGUGCCUAAUACAUGCAAGUCGAGCGAACAGACGAGGAGCUUGCUCCUUUGACGUUAGCGGCGGACGGGUGAGUAACACGUGGGUAACCUACCUAUAAGACUGGGAUAACUUCGGGAAACCGGAGCUAAUACCGGAUAAUAUUUCGAACCGCAUGGUUCGAUAGUGAAAGAUGGCUUUGCUAUCACUUAUAGAUGGGCCUGCGCCGUAUUAGCUAGUUGGUAAGGUAACGGCUUACCAAGGCAACGAUACGUAGCCGACCUGAGAGGGUGAUCGGCCACACUGGAACUGAGACACGGUCCAGACUCCUACGGGAGGCAGCAGUAGGGAAUCUUCCGCAAUGGGCGAAAGCCUGACGGAGCAACGCCGCGUGAGUGAUGAAGGUCUUCGGAUCGUAAAACUCUGUUAUUAGGGAAGAACAAACGUGUAAGUAACUGUGCACGUCUUGACGGUACCUAAUCAGAAAGCCACGGCUAACUACGUG